RNAcentral lists this ribosomal RNA (677 nucleotides) under uncultured bacterium. RNAcentral's name for it is "bacterial SSU rRNA". It matches the Rfam family "Bacterial small subunit ribosomal RNA", at positions 8 to 729 of the family's 1533-position model. The record is from RNAcentral.
AGAGUUUGAUCCUGGCUCAGAACGAACGCUGGCGGCAGGCCUAACACAUGCAAGUCGAGCGAAGUCUUCGGACUUAGCGGCGGACGGGUGAGUAACGCGUGGGAACGUGCCCUAUGGUUCGGAAUAGCCCCGGGAAACUGGGAGUAAUACCGGAUGAGCUCCACGGAGGAAAGAUUUAUCGCCAAAGGAUCGGCCCGCGUUGGAUUAGGUAGUUGGUGGGGUAAUGGCCCACCAAGCCGACGAUCCAUAGCUGGUUUGAGAGGAUGAUCAGCCACACUGGGACUGAGACACGGCCCAGACUCCUACGGGAGGCAGCAGUGGGGAAUCUUAGACAAUGGGCGCAAGCCUGAUCUAGCCAUGCCGCGUGAUCGAUGAAGGCCUUAGGGUUGUAAAGAUCUUUCAGUGGGGAAGAUAAUGACUGUACCCACAGAAGAAGCCCCGGCUAACUCCGUGCCAGCAGCCGCGGUAAUACGGAGGGGGCUAGCGUUGUUCGGAAUUACUGGGCGUAAAGCGCACGUAGGCGGAACAGAAAGUCAGAGGUGAAAUCCCAGGGCUCAACCUUGGAACUGCCUUUGAAACUCCUGUUCUUGAGGUCGAGAGAGGUGAGUGGAAUUCCGAGUGUAGAGGUGAAAUUCGUACAUAUACGGGAGGAACACCAGUGGUUAAAGGCGGCUCAC